AGUGAACGCUGGCGGUAGGCCUAACACAUGCAAGUCGAACGGCAGCACAGUAAUAGCUUGCUCUUACGGGUGGCGAGUGGCGGACGGGUGAGGAAUACAUCGGAAUCUACUUUUUCGUGGGGGAUAACGUAGGGAAACUUACGCUAAUACCGCAUACGACCUACGGGUGAAAGCAGGGGAUCUUCGGACCUUGCGCGAUUGAAUGAGCCGAUGUCGGAUUAGCUAGUUGGCGGGGUAAAGGCCCACCAAGGCGACGAUCCGUAGCUGGUCUGAGAGGAGGAUCAGCCACACUGGAACUGAGACACGGUCCAGACUCCUACGGGAGGCAGCAGUGGGGAAUAUUGGACAAUGGGCGCAAGCCUGAUCCAGCCAUACCGCGUGGGUGAAGAAGGCCUUCGGGUUGUAAAGCCCUUUUGUUGGGAAAGAAAAGCAGCAGGUUAAUACCCCGCUGUUCUGACGGUACCCAAAGAAUAAGCACCGGCUAACUUCGUG
Molecule: ribosomal RNA, 492 nt
Filed under: uncultured bacterium
Lineage: Bacteria
Description: partial 16S ribosomal RNA
Rfam family: Bacterial small subunit ribosomal RNA
Source: RNAcentral